RNAcentral lists this ribosomal RNA (301 nucleotides) under uncultured bacterium. RNAcentral describes it as "partial 16S ribosomal RNA". It matches the Rfam family "Bacterial small subunit ribosomal RNA", at positions 509 to 808 of the family's 1533-position model. The record is from RNAcentral.
CAGUCGCCGCGGUAAAACGUAGGUCCCGAGCGUUGUCCGGAUUUAUUGGGCGUAAAGCGAGCGCAGGCGGUUAGAUAAGUCUGAAGUGAAAGGCAGUGGCUCAACCAUUGUAGGCUUUGGAAACUGUUUAACUUGAGUGCAGAAGGGGAGAGUGGAAUUCCAUGUGUAGCGGUGAAAUGCGUAGAUAUAUGGAGGAACACCGGUGGCGAAAGCGGCUCUCUGGUCUGUAACUGACGCUGAGGCUCGAAAGCGUGGGGAGCGAACAGGAUUAGAUACCCCUGUAGUCCCUGUCUCUUAUACA